Odocoileus virginianus texanus is the source of this 1239-nucleotide non-coding RNA. The record is from RefSeq and is a predicted model, not a curated record. NCBI's taxonomy places the organism in Eukaryota, Metazoa, Chordata, Mammalia, Artiodactyla, Cervidae.
CUGGGGUAGACACUGUUCUCACCCGUGGCUCUCCUGCCUGGCUGCACAUCGGAAACACCUGGCAUUGUGUUACCGACCAUGAUGCCCAGACUCCCUACCAAGCUAAUCAGAUCAGAAUCUCUGUAGGACUGGGAAAGGGGAUUUUUUUUUUUAAUCUUCCCAGGGAAUUAUAACAUGAAUGUAGAGUUAAGAACACUGUUCUAGACCCACAGUUUUGAUCUGGGAUGGAAAGACAGGGAUUUAUGUCACCUGCCAGUGGACACAUGUCUGUGUACUGUUAGAAAAGGCAUUCUGCUUCUAUGUGCCUCGGACUCUUCAUGUGUGCAAAAGGAUUAGAAAGGUGAGCUCUCUCCCAUGCUUCUAUGCAAGCGAAGGGUGGAAAACAGGACAGAAAACCUUGCCCCAAGGAAGAGCAUCUCUGGGAUUCUCAAGUUCUGUUGCUCAGGUAAACACGUGUACAUGAGCUCUACAGAUGCGACUUCCCAGCCGUUUUACUACAAGAGGAACAAACGUAGACGCGUGAGUGUCCUGCUCUGCCUCCAUGAACUGACAUUUCUAAAGGGAAGCUGAUGACACCAGGCUAAAUCAGUGAUGCCUUCAUUGCAGCAGCCAUGGGGUGGUGUCAACCUGGAGCCUUGCAAACUCCCAAACUUGGUCUCUGCAAAGGAUUUCAGGAAGGCAAGAGCCUCUUGUCUUAGCUGCCAUCGGCCUGGAAACAGACCUGCUCCAUUUGGAUUCUGGGAAAAUAGAACAAAUGAUUAAGUAAAUUUGAUAAAACAACACUUGUUCAUUCUUGGUGAAGGAUACAUGGACAUAUGCAACACCUGUGAGUCUGAAGUAAUUUCAAGAUGAAAAUGUGCAUCAAAUUUCCCUAUGGUUGCUGUAGUUGUUGUUACAAUUUCUUUCAGAGGGAAGGCAAAUGGGGAAAAAUCAAAUCUGUGCCCUGGAUAGUUAACUUUUGUAGACUGCCUUUUUUGUUGAAGUAUGGCUUCUGUAACAAACAGGAUUGGAUGUCUUGGGUUGGGCAAGAAGUUUGUCCUGUAAGAUGGUACAGAAAAACCCAAAAGAGCUUCUUGGCCAUGUCAAUGGUUAUGCUUGCAGAUUGACAGCUGAGUAAGGGAUCCUGCUCUGUAGGCAAUGGAUGCAAAAGCCUUUCUGUUUUCUGACUUUGUUUGUUUUUGUUUUUGUUUUUUAAUACCACCCCUGGUAACUUACACUAUUGUCAAACCAUUUUAACUU